Molecule: long non-coding RNA, 411 nt
Filed under: Agrilus planipennis (emerald ash borer)
Lineage: Eukaryota; Metazoa; Arthropoda; Insecta; Coleoptera; Buprestidae
Description: uncharacterized LOC108744462, transcript variant X2
Source: RNAcentral
UUGAUAACUUGUUAUUUAACAGCAUAUCUUUAAAAAUUCAAAAUGCAAAUACCUUAUGAAAAACAAUUUAAUUUGAAUCCUGCAUUAAGAGUAGUGAAGAUGACACAGAACGGUCUAUAAGAAGUACCAAAUCAUCAUAACCAGGCACAGUGCCAGAGCCUUUGGCUUCGUAACGUCGCCACUGGCUGACCAGAUUAUGGUAACAAAAAGUACAAACCAACGCAGAACCAUCUUCACGCAACUGCUCCGCAUUUGGUGGACUAACGUGCUUAAGUAAAUAGGGAAAGUAUGGAGCAUUCCUUCCUACAAUAUAGAAUAAAAGUUGCAGUGUAGCCUAGUGGCGGCUCAUGAGACUCCAAAAAGGGAAAAUAUGGCUCUUUAGGUUUAUUUGGAGGUGGUUUCACAUACAGC